This 463-nucleotide ribosomal RNA is filed under the name uncultured bacterium. Its description in RNAcentral is "partial 16S ribosomal RNA". It matches the Rfam family "Bacterial small subunit ribosomal RNA", at positions 28 to 507 of the family's 1533-position model. The record is from RNAcentral.
GAUGAACGCUGACAGAAUGCUUAACACAUGCAAGUCGAUGGGGAAGUGGUGCUUGCCCCAUGGCAACCAUGGCGGACGGGUGAGUAACGCGUAAGGGACUUACCUGCAGGACUGGGAUAACAGGGGGAAACUCCUGACAAGACCGGAUAAUGUCAUGGAGCUGCAUGGCUUUAUGAUGAAAGGAGACGCCUGCGGAGAGCCUUGCGUCCUAUUAGCUAGUUGGUGAGGUAAUGGCUCACCAAGGCGAAGAUAGGUAGCCGGCCUGAGAGGGUGGACGGCCACAAGGGGACUGAGAUACGGCCCUGACUCCUACGGGAGGCAGCAGUGGGGAAUAUUGGACAAUGGGGGCAACCCUGAUCCAGCAAUUCUGUGUGCACGAAGAAGGUUUUCGGAUUGUAAAGUGCUUUCAGCAGGGAAGAAGUAAGUGACGGUACCUGCAGAAGAAGCGACGGCUAAAUACGUG